This 429-nucleotide ribosomal RNA is filed under the name Bacillota bacterium. RNAcentral's name for it is "Firmicutes bacterium partial 16S ribosomal RNA". It matches the Rfam family "Bacterial small subunit ribosomal RNA", at positions 355 to 776 of the family's 1533-position model. Lineage: Bacteria; Bacillati; Bacillota. The record is from RNAcentral.
UAGGGAAUCUUCGGCAAUGGGGGCAACCCUGACCGAGCAACGCCGCGUGAGUGAAGAAGGUUUUCGGAUCGUAAAGCUCUGUUGUAAGUCAAGAACGGGUGUGAGAGUGGAAAGUUCACACUGUGACGGUAGUUUACCAGAAAGGGACGGCUAACUACGUGCCAGCAGCCGCGGUAAUACGUAGGUCCCGAGCGUUGUCCGGAUUUAUUGGGCGUAAAGCGCGCGCAGGCGGUUUGAUAAGUCUGAAGUUAAAGGCUGUGGCUCAACCAUAGUUGGCUUUGGAAACUGUCAAGCUUGAGUGCAGAAGGGGAGAGUGGAAUUCCAUGUGUAGCGGUGAAAUGCGUAGAUAUAUGGAGGAACACCGGUGGCGAAAGCGGCUCUCUGGUCUGUAACUGACGCUGAGGCUCGAAAGCGUGGGGAGCGAACAGG